Molecule: ribosomal RNA, 252 nt
Filed under: uncultured bacterium
Lineage: Bacteria
Description: partial 16S ribosomal RNA
Rfam family: Bacterial small subunit ribosomal RNA
Source: RNAcentral
UACGUAGGUGGCAAGCGUUGUCCGGAAUUACUGGGUGUAAAGGGAGCGUAGGCGGGGAUGCAAGUUGAAUGUUUAAUCUAUGGGCUCAACCCAUAUCAGCGUUCAAAACUGUGUCUCUUGAGUGAAGUAGAGGCAGGCGGUAUUCCUAGUGUAGCGGUGAAAUGCGUAGAUAUUAGGAGGAACACCAGUGGCGAAGGCGGCCUGCUGGGCUUUUACUGACGCUGAGGCUCGAAAGUGCGGGGAGCAAACAGG